CGCACAAAGGGCGUGCAAGGUUCCCCACACAGACGCAAAGCGUCGGGGAUGAAACUGGGAAUGCGGAACGGGCCGAUCCGAUCAAGGAGGCCCCCAGCCGCAGCCGCCCCCGCGACUGUAUGCGGAGAGUGCGCCGUCGAUGUGCCACUGGGGUCAACCCCGGGAAGGCGACGCCGCACCUUGACCCGCAAGCCAGGAGACCGGCCCUGCACAUUGAAACACC
This 223-nucleotide non-coding RNA is filed under the name Loktanella sp. 3ANDIMAR09. RNAcentral also lists the same sequence under 1 other name. Lineage: Bacteria; Pseudomonadati; Pseudomonadota; Alphaproteobacteria; Rhodobacterales; Roseobacteraceae. The record is from RNAcentral.